UACGAGGGGGGCGAGCGUUGUUCGGAAUUAUUGGGCGUAAAGGGCGCGUAGGCGGCUCAUGAAGGCUGUGGUGAAAGUCCGGGGCUCAACCUCGGAUCGGCCGUGGCGACUCGUGGGCUGGAGCACUGUAGAGGCGGGUGGAAUUCCGGGUGUAGCGGUGGAAUGCGUAGAGAUCCGGAGGAACACCAAAGGCGAAGGCAGUGUCCUGGGGAGUACCUGACGCUCAGGUGCGAAAGCCAGGGGAGCGAACGGG
Molecule: ribosomal RNA, 253 nt
Filed under: uncultured bacterium
Lineage: Bacteria
Description: partial 16S ribosomal RNA
Rfam family: Bacterial small subunit ribosomal RNA
Source: RNAcentral